GAUGAAGAACGUAGCGAAUUGCGAUACGUAAUGUGAAUUGCAGAAUUCAGUGAAUCAUCGAAUCUUUGAACGCACAUUGCGCCCGCCAGUAUUCUGGCGGGCAUGCCUGUUCGAGCGUCAUUUCAACCCUCAAGCCCGGCUUGGUGUUGGAGUUCUGUUUGUUUAAAACAGGCUCUGAAAUACAGUGGCGAGCUCACCUGGACUCCGAGCGUAGUAGUUAACGUCGCUCAGGGCGUCCGGCGGGUUUCUGCCGUAAAAUCCCCUAUUUUACAGAAAGGUUGACCUCGGAUCAGGUAGGAAUACCCGCUGAACUUAAGCAUAUCAAUAAGCGGAGGA
Molecule: unclassified non-coding RNA, 336 nt
Filed under: soil metagenome
Description: partial contains 5.8S ribosomal RNA, internal transcribed spacer 2, and large subunit ribosomal RNA
Rfam family: 5.8S ribosomal RNA (bases 1-120)
Source: RNAcentral